AGAGUUUGAUCAUGGCUCAGAUUGAACGCUGGCGGCAGGCCUAACACAUGCAAGUCGAACGGUAACAGAAAGCAGCUUGCUGCUUUGCUGACGAGUGGCGGACGGGUGAGUAAUGUCUGGGAAACUGCCCGAUGGAGGGGGAUAACUACUGGAAACGGUAGCUAAUACCGCAUAACGUCGCAAGACCAAAGAGGGGGACCUUCGGGCCUCUUGCCAUCGGAUGUGCCCAGAUGGGAUUAGCUUGUUGGUGGGGUAACGGCUCACCAAGGCGACGAUCCCUAGCUGGUCUGAGAGGAUGACCAGCCACACUGGAACUGAGACACGGUCCAGACUCCUACGGGAGGCAGCAGUGGGGAAUAUUGCACAAUGGGCGCAAGCCUGAUGCAGCCAUGCCGCGUGUAUGAAGAAGGCCUUCGGGUUGUAAAGUACUUUCAGCGGGGAGGAAGGGAGUAAAGUUAAUACCUUUGCUCAUUGACGUUACCCGCAGAAGAAGCACCGGCUAACUCCGUGCCAGCAGCCGCGGUAAUACGGAGGGUGCAAGCGUUAAUCGGAAUUACUGGGCGUAAAGCGCACGUAGGCGGUUUGUUAAGUCAGAUGUGAAAUCCCCGGGCUCAACCUGGGAACUGCAUCUGAUACUGGCAAGCUUGAGUCUCGUAGAGGGGGGUAGAAUUCCAGGUGUAGCGGUGAAAUGCGUAGAGAUCUGGAGGAAUACCGGUGGCGAAGGCGGCCCCCUGGACGAAGACUGACGCUCAGGUGCGAAAGCGUGGGGAGCAAACAGGAUUAGAUACCCUGGUAGUCCACGCCGUAAACGAUGUCGACUUGGAGGUUGUGCCCUUGAGGCGUGGCUUCCGGAGCUAACGCGUUAAGUCGACCGCCUGGGGAGUACGGCCGCAAGGUUAAAACUCAAAUGAAUUGACGGGGGCCCGCACAAGCGGUGGAGCAUGUGGUUUAAUUCGAUGCAACGCGAAGAACCUUACCUGGUCUUGACAUCCACGGAAGUUUUCAGAGAUGAGAAUGUGCCUUCGGGAACCGUGAGACAGGUGCUGCAUGGCUGUCGUCAGCUCGUGUUGUGAAAUGUUGGGUUAAGUCCCGCAACGAGCGCAACCCUUAUCCUUUGUUGCCAGCGGUCCGGCCGGGAACUCAAAGGAGACUGCCAGUGAUAAACUGGAGGAAGGUGGGGAUGACGUCAAGUCAUCAUGGCCCUUACGACCAGGGCUACACACGUGCUACAAUGGCGCAUACAAAGAGAAGCGACCUCGCGAGAGCAAGCGGACCUCAUAAAGUGCGUCGUAGUCCGGAUUGGAGUCUGCAACUCGACUCCAUGAAGUCGGAAUCGCUAGUAAUCGUGGAUCAGAAUGCCACGGUGAAUACGUUCCCGGGCCUUGUACACACCGCCCGUCACACCAUGGGAGUGGGUUGCAAAAGAAGUAGGUAGCUUAACCUUCGGGAGGGCGCUUACCACUUUGUGAUUCAUGACUGGGGUGAAGUCGUAACAAGGUAACCGUAGGGGAACCUGCGGUUGGAUCACCU
Molecule: ribosomal RNA, 1530 nt
Filed under: Escherichia coli UMEA 3113-1
Lineage: Bacteria; Pseudomonadati; Pseudomonadota; Gammaproteobacteria; Enterobacterales; Enterobacteriaceae
Description: bacterial SSU rRNA
Rfam family: Bacterial small subunit ribosomal RNA
Source: RNAcentral